RNAcentral lists this ribosomal RNA (244 nucleotides) under Triticum aestivum (bread wheat). RNAcentral's name for it is "partial small subunit ribosomal RNA". Lineage: Eukaryota; Viridiplantae; Streptophyta; Magnoliopsida; Poales; Poaceae. The record is from RNAcentral.
CAAGUCAGGGAGUCAAAGGUGAUGGAUUGUCAGGAUGGCUAUGUGGAGAGAUGGAUACGCAUCGGUACUACCGGCGUUAUCUGCGGUUGCUUUCCUAAAAAUGGUGUUGGUCUUACUGACCAAGCAAUGUUGGCGACGGCUGCCUCACCGAGUAAGAUCGACGAGGAGAGACCGUCACCGAAAAACUCCCACGACCAAGGUGAUUAUACUGAUCAAGUCAGGGAGUCAAAGGUGAUGGAUUGUC